This 293-nucleotide ribosomal RNA is filed under the name uncultured bacterium. Its description in RNAcentral is "partial 16S ribosomal RNA". It matches the Rfam family "Bacterial small subunit ribosomal RNA", at positions 505 to 796 of the family's 1533-position model. The record is from RNAcentral.
GUGUCAGCCGCCGCGGUAAGACAUAGGUGGCGAACGUUAUCCGGAAUUAUUGGGCGUAAAGGAUGCGUAGAUGGUAGAAUAAGUUGCUGGUCGAUGCCAAACUCAAUUUGACGGAAGCUAGCAAUACUGUUCUGCUAGAGGGCAGGAGAGGUUGAUGGAAUUCUGUGUGGAGCGGUGAAAUGCGUUGAUCUACAGAGGAACACCAAAAAAGGCGAAGGCAGUCAACUAUUCUGUUCCUGACAUUGAGGCAUGAAAGCGUGGGGAGCAAACCGGAUUAGAUACCCGUGUAGUCC